AUGCAGUCGCACGGACCUUUCGGGGUGAGUGGCGGACGGGUGAGUAACGCGUAGGGAUCUAUCCAUGGGUGGGGGAUAACACCGGGAAACUGGUGCUAAUACCGCAUGAUACCUGAGGGUCAAAGGCGCAAGUCGCCUGUGGAGGAGCCUGCGUUCGAUUAGCUUGUUGGUGGGGUAAAGGCCUACCAAGGCGAUGAUCGAUAGCUGGUCUGAGAGGAUGAUCAGCCACACUGGGACUGAGACACGGCCCAGACUCCUACGGGAGGCAGCAGUGGGGAAUAUUGGACAAUGGGCGAAAGCCUGAUCCAGCAAUGCCGCGUGUGUGAAGAAGGUCUUCGGAUUGUAAAGCACUUUCGACGGGGACGAUGAUGACGGUACCCGUAGAAGAAGCCCCGGCUAACUUCGUGCCAGCAGCCGCGGUAAUACGAAGGGGGCUAGCGUUGCUCGGAAUGACUGGGCGUAAAGGGCGCGUAGGCGGUUCAUACAGUCAGAUGUGAAAUUCCAGGGCUUAACCUUGGGGCUGCAUUUGAUACGUAUGGACUAGAGUGUGAGAGAGGGUUGUGGAAUUCCCAGUGUAGAGGUGAAAUUCGUAGAUAUUGGGAAGAACACCGGUGGCGAAGGCGGCAACCUGGCUCAUUACUGACGCUGAGGCGCGAAAGCGUGGGGAGCAAACAGGAUUAGA
This 682-nucleotide ribosomal RNA is filed under the name Asaia sp. AR6. RNAcentral describes it as "bacterial SSU rRNA". It matches the Rfam family "Bacterial small subunit ribosomal RNA", at positions 55 to 782 of the family's 1533-position model. RNAcentral also lists the same sequence under 1 other name. Lineage: Bacteria; Pseudomonadati; Pseudomonadota; Alphaproteobacteria; Acetobacterales; Acetobacteraceae. The record is from RNAcentral.